GAUGAACGCUGGCGGCGUGCCUAAUACAUGCAAGUCGAGCGAACGGACGCGAAGCUUGCUUCUCUGAUGUUAGCGGCGGACGGGUGAGUAGCACGUGGAUAACCUACCUAUAAGACUGGGAUAACUUCGGGAAACCGGAGCUAAUACCGGAUAAUAUUUUGAACCGCAUGGUUCAAAAGUGAAAGACGGUCUUGCUGUCACUUAUAGAUGGAUCCGCGCUGCAUUAGCUAGUUGGUAAGGUAACGGCUUACCAAGGCAACGAUGCAUAGCCGACCUGAGAGGGUGAUCGGCCACACUGGAACUGAGACACGGUCCAGACUCCUACGGGAGGCAGCAGUAGGGAAUCUUCCGCAAUGGGCGAAAGCCUGACGGAGCAACGCCGCGUGAGUGAUGAAGGUCUUCGGAUCGUAAAACUCUGUUAUUAGGGAAGAACAUAUGUGUAAGUAACUGUGCACAUCUUGACGGUACCUAAUCAGAAAGCCACGGCUAACUACGUG
This 497-nucleotide ribosomal RNA is filed under the name uncultured bacterium. RNAcentral describes it as "partial 16S ribosomal RNA". It matches the Rfam family "Bacterial small subunit ribosomal RNA", at positions 28 to 507 of the family's 1533-position model. The record is from RNAcentral.